UACGAAGGGAGCUAGCGUUGUUUGGAAUCACUGGGCGUAAAGCGCACGUAGGCGGAUUUGUCAGUCAGGGGUGAAAUCCCGGGGCUCAACCUCGGAACUGCCUUUGAUACAGCAAGUCUUGAGUUCGAGAGAGGUGGGUGGAAUUCCUAGUGUAGAGGUGAAAUUCGUAGGUAUUAGGAAGAACACCGGUGGCGAAGGCGGCCCACUGGCUCGAUACUGACGCUGAGGUGCGAAAGCGUGGGGAGCAAACAGG
Molecule: ribosomal RNA, 253 nt
Filed under: uncultured bacterium
Lineage: Bacteria
Description: partial 16S ribosomal RNA
Rfam family: Bacterial small subunit ribosomal RNA
Source: RNAcentral